AUGGAGGGGCUGCCGAAAUCCACCUCAUGGAAGAGGGGGCGUGGAGUGACGGAGGUUGUCUCCCUCCUUCCACACGGUCGCAACAUCAGGAGAGGGUUCAACCCCCGUGUGGUUCUGCACCAAGUUUCUGUCAAGAAUGGAAUCUAUGAGUUCUGGAACUGGUUUGAUGAUAGGACUUGGAAGCAAAGGGCACUGGAGCUGGAUAGAUGCCAGCAGCCAUUCUGGCAAUGGGAACUUGCACCCAACAAAUUAAUGGAUGAUCUUGCAAACCUCAUCAAAUGUGUUCUUGGGCAAUAA
RNAcentral lists this ribosomal RNA (297 nucleotides) under Triticum aestivum (bread wheat). Its description in RNAcentral is "partial small subunit ribosomal RNA". Lineage: Eukaryota; Viridiplantae; Streptophyta; Magnoliopsida; Poales; Poaceae. The record is from RNAcentral.